CACGGGGGGAGCAAGCGUUGUUCGGAAUCACUGGGCGUAAAGGGCGUGUAGGCGGUCAGGUAAGUGGGACGUGAAAUCCCUCGGCUCACCCGAGGACCGGCGUCCCAUACUGCUUGGCUUGAGUACGGGAGAGGAUGGAGGAAUUCCUGGUGUAGCGGUGAAAUGCGUAGAUAUCAGGAGGAACACCGGUGGCGAAGGCGUCCAUCUGGCCCGAUACUGACGCUGAGGCGCGAAAGCUAGGGUAGCAAACGGG
RNAcentral lists this ribosomal RNA (253 nucleotides) under uncultured Latescibacterota bacterium. RNAcentral's name for it is "uncultured Latescibacteria bacterium partial 16S ribosomal RNA". It matches the Rfam family "Bacterial small subunit ribosomal RNA", at positions 524 to 776 of the family's 1533-position model. Lineage: Bacteria; Pseudomonadati; Candidatus Latescibacterota. The record is from RNAcentral.